Molecule: transfer RNA, 73 nt
Filed under: Urocitellus parryii (Arctic ground squirrel)
Lineage: Eukaryota; Metazoa; Chordata; Mammalia; Rodentia; Sciuridae
Also listed under: 2 other names
Description: Spermophilus parryii (Arctic ground squirrel) tRNA
Rfam family: tRNA
About the family: Transfer RNA (tRNA) molecules are approximately 80 nucleotides in length. Their secondary structure includes four short double-helical elements and three loops (D, anti-codon, and T loops).
Source: Rfam by way of RNAcentral
GGGGAUAUUGCUCAAUUGGUAGAGUGUUUGCCUCAUAUGCAUAAGAUCCUGGGCUCAAUCCCCAGCAACCCCC